Molecule: RNA transcript, 2180 nt
Organism: Dreissena polymorpha
Lineage: Eukaryota; Metazoa; Mollusca; Bivalvia; Myida; Dreissenidae
Exons: 3
Source: RefSeq, a predicted model, not a curated record
UCAGCAAUUUACUUCCGGGGUGUUCAUUGUUCAAGAUGUCGGACGCAGACAAAGGAAUCAGCGAAGCGUGUGAGAAAAAUGAUAGUUUGACAGGAUUUAAAGUACGAGAAUUGAAAAGCUACUUGGCUAGCCGUAGGCAGAAUGUUUCAGGCAAUAAACAGCAAUUAAUUGAUCGUGUAAAAGGGACAUUUAAACUUGGUAUUUCGGACGUAAACGGAGAAGACGAUGGCGUGUUGCAGCAUAAUGCUAGCUCGCACAGAUUUGUUACACCUUCGGGUGAGAAAAUUCCCCAUCCUGACUCAUUAGAUAAUUGGACAGAUGAUUAUUCAAAACUCCCGGAAUUUGGAGAUAAAGACAUCUACAAUUAUCUAGUGUUAAAAAUGAAUUCUCAGAGACAUCUCAAGUCUAAAGUGUUCUAUGAAGAUGGACAUGUACAUAAAGUCCAGGUAAAACAGGAAUAGAAGCAUACAAAGAUGUAAAAUAAAUAUUUAUUUGUUUUCAAACAAGUAGCAUCGAUGAAAACACAAGUCAUCUCUACAUCCGAGCAACUGUCAUCCCAUCAUUUCCAACAGCCGAUAAGAAAAAGUCUCCAGAUUAUCGACCUUGGGUUCUCCUUUCCAAAGUGACUGGAUGUGUGCAUUCUGCAACCUGUAAUUGUCCAGCAGGAGAAGGUGAAUCGUGUAACCACAUCGGCGCGCUCUUGUAUGCAGUGAAGGACAUUUGUAACAAAGUGCAAGAUGGCAAGCAUUCCUCAACAUCUCAAAAAUGCAAGUGGUCAAAUCCCAGGAAGAGGAAAUUAAGUCCAAAAAAGAGUCAGAGUGUGAUUUUCAAGAAACACAAGUUCGAAUCCUCAUUGAGGAAACCUGUAAGUGGCUUGUUUGUAAAAGAGAAUGCUACAUUCACAGAAAGUACAGUGAACAUUCAACGACUGAGAAACAGACUUACUGAAAAAUCCUUGAAUGUAGGUUGGCUGCAAAACUUUCCCGUGCACAAGGAACCCGAGCCAUUGAUACCAACUAUCCACAAAGUUGAGUUCAUGUACAGGGACUCGGUGAACUUAGAGUCGCCCGAGUGUUGCACAGUCUUUGAGGCCCAUUUUAGAAAUAUUAACAUUAGUGCCGAUGACUGUCAGGCUGUGGAAACAAUGACUCGGGGGCAGAGUAGCCAGCCAUGGAAGGUUGCCCGAAGAGAGAGGAUAACUUCUUCAUUCUUUGGGAAAGUUUUUAAACGAAAGACUGACACUAAGCCUGACAACCUGUUGAAGGAGAUGCUGUAUUCUGAUUUCUCCAACAAAUCUACUGCAUAUGGAAAAAAACAUGAAAAACCCGCACGGAAAAUGUACGUCUGGAAAAUGAACACCGUCCAUAAGGGAUUGAAAGUAACAGAAUGUGGGUUGCUAGUAAACCAAAGGUACCCACAUCUUGGUUCCAGUCCAGAUGGCCUAGUUUAUUGUCCACAUUGUGAAGAGAGUCAUGGACUUGUUGAAAUUAAAUGCCCCGCAUCAAUGAAGUGGCGGAUGAUCACACCUGAGGAGUGUUGUAAUGACAAAGACUUUUUCUGUUCCCUUGUCGAUGGAAAGGUGGUUUUGAAACAAAAUCACCAGUACUACUAUCAAGUACAAGGACAAAUGGCAGUCAGUGGUAGAAGGUGGUGCGAUUUUGUUGUUUGGACAUGUGCCGGCUUGUCAGUGGAGCGUAUCACGUUCAAUAAUAAACUGUGGAUGCAAAUGCAAGCCAGACUUGAUGACUUCUACAUUAAGUCCUUCAUCCCGGAGUUGUACAGCCUACGUGUGUAUAGGAAUGUACCUUUAAUUUGAAGAAAUUGAACAAUGGACUGGUAGUACAUAAGAAGUGUCUGUCUAUAAGCAAUAAAAUGAAUAAGAUCAGUACUACUACUAUAGACAUGGUUUCUGUUUGAAAGUGAAAGGUUACUUUUUGACCUUGUGUGUUACCGCCUUGUAUGCGCCUUGUAUGUUUGAAAAAAUAAAUACAUGUUCAUGUUAUAUAAAUUCAUUGAUGGGAAAUAGAUGUACCAUUACAUAGGAUUGUACUCUACAAUGUUUUUGAAUUGUCAUAUGAUAUUAUUAUUUGACUUGAUUGUUUGUUAUGAAUUAUAAAUAAUACGAGAUUAAAUGACUUGUUCAAGUUAAUAUGCAUGAAAUAAAUGUGUGUACAAUGCUU